AGAAGUUUAAGCUAACAAAACUAAGAGCCUUCAAAGUCCUAACUAGGAGUGAAACCCUCCUAACUUCUG
Molecule: transfer RNA, 69 nt
Filed under: Shinisaurus crocodilurus (Chinese crocodile lizard)
Lineage: Eukaryota; Metazoa; Chordata; Lepidosauria; Squamata; Shinisauridae
Description: tRNA-Trp
Source: RNAcentral